AACUUCUUACAAGUGUUUUGAAAACACCUAAAAGAUAAAUAAUCUAGAAGUUU
RNAcentral lists this transfer RNA (53 nucleotides) under Metacrangonyx dominicanus. Its description in RNAcentral is "transfer RNA Serine". Lineage: Eukaryota; Metazoa; Arthropoda; Malacostraca; Amphipoda; Metacrangonyctidae. The record is from RNAcentral.